CCCAUUACUCUUCAUGAUAAAUUCCUCUCGGCCCCGUGCGGCCCACGACUAAGUGGUUACAAACAAUUGCUAUCAAUCCAUUGCUCCCCCCGCCUAUAAAAAGGGGGCCCCAGAUACGUUAUUCUCUAAGCUCUAAUUUCUAUCCCAAAACUCUGCUAAAAUUUUCGUUCGAGCACUCCAUUCUUGUUGAGACAGAAAACUAACUUGAGCGUCGGAGGGUCUUGCCGGAGUAACCCCAACUCCGGUUUAGACUUCUUUUGCAGGUCCCGAUGACGACCGCGACUCCCUCGACUCCAGCUUCUCCGAUGCAGGCGGAUUUUUGCACCAACAAUGAUGAACUCUAUAAAUUGAAAAAAUAAUUUUAGGAUUAUGAUGAGAUCAUACCUAUAAAAUCUAAAAUCUUAAAAAUUUAGAUUUAGAAUAUUUCUAAUCAUAGGAUCAAUGAAUAGUUGAUCAAUAUUUCGAAUAGACUAGCACUUUCUAUUAUUGCUCGAUGGAGAGGAUGGCUGAUCUUAUAAGCUACUUGUGUGAGACACUAAUAUAAGGAUAUGGGUGCUUAUUAGAGAAUGAGUUCACUAAAUUAAUCUGACUUAAGAAAUAUCUUAUGAAAUCUUCUUACCCAUCAAAAGAUAUUUUCUUAUAGUGGCAGUUGUGUAUAUAAUCCUUUGACCUAAGACUAUCAUAAAAUCUUGUAUACAUGAAUCUAUAUUUUGGUUCAUACUCAUUCAUAACUUAGUUAUAUACGAUAUGAUCUAGAUAUGAUGAAAUAUGUAUAGAGAUUG
RNAcentral lists this long non-coding RNA (782 nucleotides) under Elaeis guineensis (African oil palm). RNAcentral's name for it is "long non-coding RNA (EGUI_LNC060467)". The record is from RNAcentral. Lineage: Eukaryota; Viridiplantae; Streptophyta; Magnoliopsida; Arecales; Arecaceae.